This 216-nucleotide ribosomal RNA is filed under the name uncultured bacterium. RNAcentral describes it as "partial 16S ribosomal RNA". It matches the Rfam family "Bacterial small subunit ribosomal RNA", at positions 120 to 334 of the family's 1533-position model. The record is from RNAcentral.
UGCAACUUGCCUAUCAGAGGGGGAUAACCCGGAGAAAGUCGGACUAAUACCGCAUGAAGCAGGGGCCCCCCAUGGGGAGUAUUUGCUAAAGAUUCAUCGCUGAUAGAUAGGCAUGCGUUCCAUUAGGCAGUUGGCGGGGUAACGGCCCACCAAACCGACGAUGGAUAGGGGUUCUGAGAGGAAGGUCCCCCACAUUGGUACUGAGACACGGACCAA